AGUGAACGCUGGCGGUAGGCCUAACACAUGCAAGUCGAACGGCAGCACAGUAAGAGCUUGCUCUUACGGGUGGCGAGUGGCGGACGGGUGAGGCAUACAUCGGAAUCUACUUUUUCGUGGGGGAUAACGUAGGGAAACUUACGCUAAUACCGCAUACGACUAACGGGUGAAAGCAGGGGAUAAUCGGACCUUGCGCGACUGAAUGAGCCGAUUUCGGAUUAGCUAGUUGGCGGGGUAAAGGCCCACCAAGGCGACGCUCCGUAGCUUGUCUGAGAGGAUGAUCAGCCAAAUGGAAACUGAGACACGUCCCGGACUCUAAGGGGGGGCAGAGGUGGGAAAUAUGAGACAAUGGGCGCAAGCCUAAGCCAGCCAUACCGCGGGGGUGAAGAAGGCCUUCGAGUUGUAAACCCCUUUUGUUGGGAAAGAAAAGUAGCAGGAUAACACCGCACUGUUCUGAGGGUACCAAAAGGAGAGGCACAGGCUAAUUUCGU
Molecule: ribosomal RNA, 491 nt
Filed under: uncultured bacterium
Lineage: Bacteria
Description: partial 16S ribosomal RNA
Rfam family: Bacterial small subunit ribosomal RNA
Source: RNAcentral